This 253-nucleotide ribosomal RNA is filed under the name uncultured bacterium. RNAcentral describes it as "partial 16S ribosomal RNA". It matches the Rfam family "Bacterial small subunit ribosomal RNA", at positions 524 to 776 of the family's 1533-position model. The record is from RNAcentral.
UACGUAGGGUGCGAGCGUUAAUCGGAAUUACUGGGCGUAAAGCGUGCGCAGGCGGUUCGUUAAGUCCGAUGUGAAAGCCCCGAGCUUAACUUGGGAAUGGCAUUGGAAACUGUCGGGCUGGAGUCCGGAAGAGGCGAGUGGAAUUCCUGGUGUAGCGGUGAAAUGCGCAGAUAUCAGGAGGAACACCAAUGGCGAAGGCAGCUCGCUGGGACGGUACUGACGCUGAGACGCGAAAGCGUGGGGAGCAAACAGG